GGGAUUGUAGUUAAAUUGGUCAAAGCACCACCCUGUCAAGGCGGAAGCUGCGGGUUCGAGCCCCGUGAAUCCCG
Transfer RNA from Cajanus cajan (pigeon pea), 74 nucleotides. It matches the Rfam family "tRNA". Rfam says of the family: Transfer RNA (tRNA) molecules are approximately 80 nucleotides in length. Their secondary structure includes four short double-helical elements and three loops (D, anti-codon, and T loops). The record is from Rfam. NCBI's taxonomy places the organism in Eukaryota, Viridiplantae, Streptophyta, Magnoliopsida, Fabales, Fabaceae.